UGGUCCCUCAGCAGCAGUAGCAGCUGCAGUGGUACUGUUAUAUCUGCUGAUUCCUCUACCAAGGCUAGAAUUCCUCCCUCCUGAAAACAGAGCAGAAACAGAACCAGAAGUGAAGGAACGAGAGAGCAAACUAGAUAUCCUCCUAGCAGCCAUAGCAACUUCCUCUCGGUGCUCUCUCUCUCUCUGUCUCUCUCUCAGUCUCUCUGUGGGGGGUGUAAAAUCUUUUUUUAAUGCCCUGUAACUCUCCUCUCUAUGUAAUUAUAUAUAAAAUCUCUCACUCUAAAAUGGGAACUUAUCUAGUGGCCACCUCCAACUUUUCUGAUAAUUAUCCAAUAAAGUGGAAAGAGUCAAAAUAUAUAUAAAUAUAUCAAUAUCAAUUAAACAUCAAUUUUCUGGGUUUUCUUUAGUGUUGACAGAUUAAAAUUCUUUGCAAGUUGUUU
RNAcentral lists this unclassified non-coding RNA (440 nucleotides) under Hevea brasiliensis (rubber tree). The record is from RNAcentral. Lineage: Eukaryota; Viridiplantae; Streptophyta; Magnoliopsida; Malpighiales; Euphorbiaceae.